AUGAAGCUACUCACCAUGGCCGAUGUGUCCGACCUGUUGAUCUUUUGCUUGCUUGCCAGGGGUGUGAAGGUGGUGUACAGGACCAAGGAGCUUGAGGAGCAGCAGGCCAACCGAAUCUGGAACGAAACCUGGCUCGCAGGAUUCUUCUACAAGCCUUGCAACCACAAACUGUUUUUGAAGCAAGCACUCAACAUGGAGAUGGCCAUUGUGAUGGCCCGGUAUUCCAUCAGACGCCUGUUAGCUGACGUCCCCGAUGAUGUUGACAUGGUUGUUUUUCCUAACUAUGAAAGCAGCGUCGAGCGUGAUGAUAUAAAAGAUCCAUUCAGUGAGAAGAAAAAACUGUGCCGCCACUCCUCCCUCGAUUUCUGUCUAGGGUUUCCUGCCUCCGCCUCCGCCAUCACGGAAGCCGAGGGCACGCCGCCGCCUCUGCCAAUCCCUAGGGACGCCGCCUCCGUGGAUGAAGUGGUUCCAUUUGAUCGCAGUUUCUACCUUUUCAACUUGUUUGGUUAUGAGCCAAGACUGAAGAUAUACAAGCUUAUGUUGCCUCUGUUACCAUGUGGCAAUGCAACCAUGAAGGGCUUGACGUGUUGGCUGUCAAGAAGCACUAGGUCGACGGCAGGCAAGGCAUCCAGGAAGCCACAUCACGAGAGAGCGAUGACGCUCAAAGGUUGUGAAGAGGAGUUCCUGAUGAUAGCUGAAUAUACCGGCCUACUUGCCGACAACCAAGGCAAAAUUAUCAGCGUGUAUGCGAAACAGCCUGCUAGCUGGGUGUGUGCCUCCUGUUUGAGCGAGAGGGAGGACCUUUGCUGGGCAGUCAAAGGAUGUGCUCGGAUAUGGUGGUCCAACUGCAAGCGUAGCUUGCAGCUCCAGCUUAGAUUUGUUAGGAACCAAUCACCCAGAUGCCUUUCCUAG
This 912-nucleotide ribosomal RNA is filed under the name Triticum aestivum (bread wheat). RNAcentral describes it as "partial small subunit ribosomal RNA". Lineage: Eukaryota; Viridiplantae; Streptophyta; Magnoliopsida; Poales; Poaceae. The record is from RNAcentral.